UUUUGGAGGAUUCUGCCAAAGAAAAAGUCAAUGCAAUGAUGAGCAAAAAUCUAUUUUAAUAUAUCUUUCCACUUUCUGUAAUUGGUUAAUGCUUACUCAUGUAUGUGUGUAAUCGAUGGCAGGCGUCACAGUCCAUACCUCAAAUCUGAAGGGAUCAAAGCUUCCAGGAUCAGCAAAAAAAUCAGGAUUGUGGUGAAUGUUCCUGAACAACGGCAUCACCUUCCAACCUUUUGGAAUUAGUUCAGGAGAUGACCCAAGAGAUUGUUUGCAGAAGAUUUCUUCUCCUUUCUUUCUCGCACAAUCUUACCAAUAAUUUGAUUGAGCCUUUUCCUCGCCUUCACAAUUUCAUAUCAAGCUUGACAUGGCUAUGGAUUCAAUAUCAGGCAUCAACUUUCGGGUUGCUUCUGGAAAACGAGGUUUGAACUAGCUUCCUCAUCCGAGCAUGGUAAUCUCCCGUGUGAAAAAAUAGGGCUGAAGGUCCAAUCAAAUUUUCUUUACUUUUUGGGUAUGUUGGUUUGAACAAGUGAGGUUGAGCUACCAGCACAAACCGAGCCGCCUCAGGGCUUGCUAGCAUAACACAUGGGUAUCCAAGUAUUCGAGUUUUGAAUAUGUCACCAUAUCUGAUCAUGAUACAAGAGAUAAUAAUAGUAGCAUUAUUAGUGUCAAACUUGGUGCAUAAAUGAGUGACUGAUCUGUUGUCAUAAUUCUGUUGUAUAUACUAACCUUUUCUGCUUUGAGGCAAAAAAAACAUUCGGGUCUUGUGUGUACAUUUGGAGAGUCUCUCCAAUGCAAGGCCAACCCAUUGAACCCGGGGGAAGUCUGGCUGUUUUUUUAUGCCCCCUCUUUUGUUUUUUGAAUAAACAAUACGAUAAAAGUGAAAAUAAAAAAAUAAUUGCGUAGAAAAAAGUUGCAAAAAGCUUCAUGGACGACUCAAAACACUAUCUCUCUAUCUCUCUGAUUAUUUUUAAUUUUAUUUGGCUUGUUAUGAAAGGACCUUGUAUAGGGUGUGUGUCGAAGAGGAUCUUUCUUGUGGGAAGGCAAAGGGGUCAUGGGGUUUAUAUAGUGACAAAUCAGCUAGAAUGGAUGGUUCCGUAUCACCCCAGAAGCUAAAUUCUAGGUACAAAAAUGAAGAAUGAUGCGAAAGAGAUUUAUCAAGAAUAUUAGCUCCACGUGUUCAGAUGGCGUGGACUUCAGCUUAAUUUACAAACGAGAUACACAAUCAGGGGACCAAAUUCACAAUUUAACAGUGACAUCCGACGAGCGCUACAAUUAGAUGAUUCUGCCGUCGAUGAUCAUUAUUUAUUAAAUAACAAACUCUGAAACCAACCAAGUUGGCGGCAAGUUCGCACAAGCUAAAAAUGGAUGAGUGUUUGAUUACCUGGGCAAAUAAUGUAUCAUUAUUAAUUUAUUAUAUGUGUAUAUUUAAUGAUUUUAUUUUAGGUUAUGUGAAUUGGAGGUAAUUAGUGUUAGAGCCUAGAGGUUUGAUUUUUCUUUUCAA
Molecule: long non-coding RNA, 1498 nt
Organism: Erigeron canadensis
Lineage: Eukaryota; Viridiplantae; Streptophyta; Magnoliopsida; Asterales; Asteraceae
Exons: 5
Source: RefSeq, a predicted model, not a curated record